RNAcentral lists this ribosomal RNA (710 nucleotides) under uncultured bacterium. RNAcentral's name for it is "bacterial SSU rRNA". It matches the Rfam family "Bacterial small subunit ribosomal RNA", at positions 86 to 818 of the family's 1533-position model. The record is from RNAcentral.
UGAUGGCGACCGGCGGACGGGUGCGUAACGCGUAUGCACCUACCUUAAACAGGGGGAUAACACUGAGAAAUUGGUACUAAUACCCCAUAUUCGGCAUCGUAAAACUCCGUGGUUUAAGAUGGGCAUGCGUUGUAUUAGCUGGUUGGUGAGGUAACGGCUCACCGAACCUUCGAUGGAUAGGGGUUCUGAGAGGAAGGUCCCCCACAUUGGAACUGAGACACGAUCAAAACUUAACGGGAGGCAGCAGUGAGGAAUAUUGGUCAAUGGGCGAGAGCCUGAACCAGCCAAGUAGCGUGAAGGACGACGGCCUACGGGUUGUAAACUUCUUUUAUAAGGGAAUAAGUUCGCCACGUGUGGUGUUUUGUAUGUACCUUAUGAAUAAGCAUCGGCUAAUUCCGUGCCAGCAGCCGCGGUAAUACGGAAGAUGCGAGCGUUAUCCGGAUUUAUUGGGUUUAAAGGGAGCGUAGGCGGGCUUUUAAGUCAGCGGUCAAAUGCCACGGCUCAACCGUGGCCAGCCGUUGAAACUGUAAGCCUUGAGUCUGCACAGGGCACAUGGAAUUCGUGGUGUAGCGGUGAAAUGCUUAGAUAUCACGAAGAACUCCGAUCGCGAAGGCAUUGUGCCGGGGCAGCACUGACGCUGAGGCUCGAAAGUGCGGGUAUCAAACAGGAUUAGAUACCCUGGUAGUCCGCACGGUAAACGAUGAAUGCUC